ACUUGGCACAAAACCGAGCUCUACACAUUCGUUCGAGGUGGUAUUUCUUUACUGGCAUAUUAUGAAAAUGGAAAUGCACUAACGUAACGGCCGCCACACAAGUGAAACUUACAUCCAAACACCAUUCCAGCAUCUUCAGAAGAAAUCUACAAUGCUGCAGCAUGGAUCAGAAAAGGAAACCUUUGGUUUCAGAGACUCCAGUUGUGCAACCGUCAACCAGCCAGCCUUAGGGAUGCCCCAUCACUGAAUAUACUCCAAUCCCGACAAGAAGCCCACUGCUUAAGGUUCAUUUCUUCUAUAGCAUACUUUCAGUAAAGUUGCUGGUACUCCUCUGCAUACUGCUGUCUGUUCAUCUGUCUACGUACUUGUACCUGGCACUGUCCAUAUAUCUGUUAUGUAUAGUAAAAAUAUCUAUGUGUUUGUUCUAACCUAUCUUCUGAUUUCC
Long non-coding RNA from Scleropages formosus (Asian bonytongue), 445 nucleotides. RefSeq lists it as uncharacterized. The transcript has 3 exons. The record is from RefSeq and is a predicted model, not a curated record. Lineage: Eukaryota; Metazoa; Chordata; Actinopteri; Osteoglossiformes; Osteoglossidae.